RNAcentral lists this ribosomal RNA (300 nucleotides) under uncultured Candidatus Portiera sp. Its description in RNAcentral is "bacterial SSU rRNA". It matches the Rfam family "Bacterial small subunit ribosomal RNA", at positions 114 to 417 of the family's 1533-position model. The record is from RNAcentral. Lineage: Bacteria; Pseudomonadati; Pseudomonadota; Gammaproteobacteria; Johnevansiales (SeqCode); Johnevansiaceae (SeqCode).
CGCGUAGGAAUCUACCCAGUAGCGGGGGAUAGCCAGUGGAAACGCUGAUUAAUACCGCAUACGCCCCACGGGGGAAAGGCCGGGAUCUUCGGACCGGUCACUAUUGGAGGAGCCUGCGUUGGAUUAGCUAGUUGGUGAGGUAAAGGCUCACCAAGGCGACGAUCCAUAGCUGUUCUGAGAGGAAGAUCAGCCACACUGGAACUGAGACACGGUCCAGACUCCUACGGGAGGCAGCAGUAGGGAAUAUUGCACAAUGGGCGAAAGCCUGAUGCAGCCAUGCCGCGUGUGUGAAGAAGGCCU